Molecule: ribosomal RNA, 323 nt
Filed under: uncultured eukaryote
Lineage: Eukaryota
Description: partial 18S ribosomal RNA
Rfam family: Eukaryotic small subunit ribosomal RNA
Source: RNAcentral
CCCUUAGAUGUCCUGGGCUGCACGCGCGCUACACUGACACGUUCAACGAGUUUUGCCUGCUCCGAUGGGACUGGGUAAUCUUAUGAAAGCGUGUCGUGAUGGGGAUAGAUUAUUGCAAUUAUUAAUCUUCAACGAGGAAUUCCUAGUAAGUACAAGUCAUCAGCUUGUGCUGAUUACGUCCCUGCCCUUUGUACACACCGCCCGUCGCUCCUACCGAUUGAAUGCUCAGGUGAGCCAUUCGGACUUUCAUCAUGCUGGUUUCCAGUUUUGAUGAAGGAAAGUCUUGCGAACCUUAUCAUUUAGAGGAAGGAGAAGUCGUAACA